GACGAACGCUGGCGGCGUGCUUAACACAUGCAAGUCGAACGGAAAGGCCCUGCUUUUGUGGGGUGCUCGAGUGGCGAACGGGUGAGUAACACGUGAGUAACCUGCCCUUGACUUUGGGAUAACUUCAGGAAACUGGGGCUAAUACCGGAUAGGAGCUCCUGCUGCUUGGUGGGGGUUGGAAAGUUUCGGCGGUUGGGGAUGGACUCGCGGCUUAUCAGCUUGUUGGUGGGGUAGUGGCUUACCAAGGCUUUGACGGGUAGCCGGCCUGAGAGGGUGACCGGCCACAUUGGGACUGAGAUACGGCCCAGACUCCUACGGGAGGCAGCAGUGGGGAAUAUUGCACAAUGGGCGGAAGCCUGAUGCAGCAACGCCGCGUGCGGGAUGACGGCCUUCGGGUUGUAAACCGCUUUCGCCUGUGACGAAGCGUGAGUAACGGUAAUGGGUAAAGAAGCACCGGCUAACUACGUG
Molecule: ribosomal RNA, 468 nt
Filed under: uncultured bacterium
Lineage: Bacteria
Description: partial 16S ribosomal RNA
Rfam family: Bacterial small subunit ribosomal RNA
Source: RNAcentral